Molecule: ribosomal RNA, 406 nt
Filed under: uncultured bacterium
Lineage: Bacteria
Description: partial 16S ribosomal RNA
Rfam family: Bacterial small subunit ribosomal RNA
Source: RNAcentral
AUUGAACGCUGGCGGCAGGCCUAACACAUGCAAGUCGAACGAGUGGCGGACGGGUGAGUAAUGUCUGGGAAACUGCCUGAUGGAGGGGGAUAAAUACUGGAAACGGUAGCUAAUACCGCAUACUAUCAGAUGUGCCCAGAUGGGAUUAGCUUGUUGGUGGGGUAACGGCUAACCAAGGCGAAGAUCCCUAGCUGGUCUGAGAGGAUGACCAGCCAGCCUGGUACGGAGGAACGGUCCAGACUCGUACGUGAGCCAGCAGUGGGGAAUAUUGCAAAAUGGACGCAAGCCUGAAGCAGCCAUGCCGGGUGGAUGACGAAGGCCUGCGGGUUGUAAAGUAAUUUCAGCGGGCAGUCGUUACCCGCAGAAGAAGCACCCACUAACUCCAUGCCAGCAGCCGCGGUAAUAC